UAGCGCAGGAUGACCGGAGGUCUGGGGGAUAACAAACGGUGGUGUCACAAAAUCGGAGGCCACGACUGUUUACUAAAAACACAAUUCAGAGCAAUGAUGAAAAUCAUAGUAUUCUGGAUGAAAUUUGCCCGAUGCCAUUAACAUAAAAGAGGUAAUGGGAAACUGUUACUAAUUGAAAGUCUGGUUAAUAGCGGUCUUAACUAUGAGGAUCCUAAGGUAGCAAAAUCAGUUGGCCANUAAAUGUGGUCUGGUAUCAAUAGUGUAACGAUGGUCUCACUGUCUCUACAACUUGCUCAGUGAAANUGAAUUAUCCGUGCAGAU
This 321-nucleotide ribosomal RNA is filed under the name Tomentella sublilacina. RNAcentral's name for it is "LSU rRNA". It matches the Rfam family "Bacterial large subunit ribosomal RNA", at positions 1738 to 2060 of the family's 2925-position model. The record is from RNAcentral. Lineage: Eukaryota; Fungi; Basidiomycota; Agaricomycetes; Thelephorales; Thelephoraceae.